AGUGAACGCUGGCGGUAGGCCUAACACAUGCAAGUCGAACGGCAGCACAGAGGAGCUUGCUCCUUGGGUGGCGAGUGGCGGACGGGUGAGGAAUACAUCGGAAUCUACUCUGUCGUGGGGGAUAACGUAGGGAAACUUACGCUAAUACCGCAUACGACCUACGGGUGAAAGCAGGGGGAUCUUCGGACCUUGCGCGAUUGAAUGAGCCGAUGUCGGAUUAGCUAGUUGGCGGGGUAAAGGCCCACCAAGGCGACGAUCCGUAGCUGGUCUGAGAGGAUGAUCAGCCACACUGGAACUGGGACACGGUCCAGACUCCUACGGGAGGCAGCAGUGGGGAAUAUUGGACAAUGGGCGCAAGCCUGAUCCAGCCAUACCGCGUGGGUGAAG
RNAcentral lists this ribosomal RNA (387 nucleotides) under uncultured bacterium. RNAcentral describes it as "bacterial SSU rRNA". It matches the Rfam family "Bacterial small subunit ribosomal RNA", at positions 29 to 410 of the family's 1533-position model. The record is from RNAcentral.